CGCCCUUUGAAAAGAUAACUAAAAUAUAAAGGGUUCUGCCUGCCCAGUGACGAAUAGUUAAACGGCCGCGGUAUUUUGACCGUGCAAAGGUAGCAUAAUCAUUUGCCUUUUAAAUGGAGGCUGGAAUGAAUGGCAAGACGAAAAUUUGACUGUCUCUUUUCUAAUAAUCUUGAAAUUAAUUUCCUUGUGAAGAAGCAGGGAUGAAAUCGUGGGACGAGAAGACCCUAUUGAGCUUAAAGAAUUAGUAUAAGCAUUGGGUUUCUAUUUUAGGCUAAUUUAUUUAUUUAUAUAAAUUUACUUAUAAUAGAAAUAAUGUUGUAUAAUGAAUUGUUUUGGUUGGGGCAACCGCGGAGAAAAAGAAACCUCCGCUAUUGAAAAGAAAAAAGAUACUACUUUUAUAAAAAAAUAAUUUUAUUAAAAAUGAUCCACUGGAAAGUGAUCAAAGGAAUAAGUUACCAUAGGGAUAACAGCGUAAUUUUUUUGGAGAGUUCAUAUUGAUAAAAAAGUUUGCGACCUCGAUGUUGGAUCGAGACUUCCUGGGGGUGCAGCAGCUUCCAAGGGUUGGUCUGUUCGACCAUUAAAGUCUU
This 587-nucleotide ribosomal RNA is filed under the name Macroptychaster accrescens. RNAcentral describes it as "partial 16S ribosomal RNA". It matches the Rfam family "Bacterial large subunit ribosomal RNA", at positions 1816 to 2597 of the family's 2925-position model. Lineage: Eukaryota; Metazoa; Echinodermata; Asteroidea; Paxillosida; Astropectinidae. The record is from RNAcentral.